This is a non-coding RNA of Acanthosepion pharaonis, 114 nucleotides long. The record is from the annotation of a GenBank genome assembly. NCBI's taxonomy places the organism in Eukaryota, Metazoa, Mollusca, Cephalopoda, Sepiida, Sepiidae.
UUACGGCCAUAUCACACUGAAACACGGGUUCCCGUACGAUCGCCGAAAUUAAAAAACGUCGAGCUUGAUAAGUAACUACAUGGCUUACCGUUUGGGAAUGUCAGGGGUUGUAAU